Molecule: ribosomal RNA, 431 nt
Filed under: uncultured bacterium
Lineage: Bacteria
Description: partial 16S ribosomal RNA
Rfam family: Bacterial small subunit ribosomal RNA
Source: RNAcentral
CCUACGGGAGGCUGCAGUGGGGAAUAUUGGACAAUGGGGGAAACCCUGAUCCAGCAAUGCCGCGUGAGUGAAGAAGGCCUUAGGGUUGUAAAGCUCUUUCAGUAGGGAUACGGUACCUACAGAAGAAGCCCCGGCUAACUCCGUGCCAGCAGCCGCGGUAAGACGGAGGGGGCUAGCGUUGUUCGGAAUUACUGGGCGUAAAGGGCGCGUAGGCGGCAAAUCAAGUUAGGCGUGAAAUCCCUGGGCUUAACCCAGGAACUGCGUUUAAUACUGGUUAGCUAGAGAUUGGUAGAGGAAAGUGGAAUUCCUAGUGUAGAGGUGAAAUUCGUAGAUAUUAGGAAGAACACCAGAGGCGAAGGCGGCUUUCUGGGCCAUCUGACGCUGAGGCGCGAAAGCGUGGGGAGCAAACAGGAUUAGAUACCCUUGUAGUC